Aedes albopictus (Asian tiger mosquito) is the source of this 73-nucleotide non-coding RNA. The record is from Rfam. Lineage: Eukaryota; Metazoa; Arthropoda; Insecta; Diptera; Culicidae.
UGUUCUGUGGCUUAGUUAGUUAAAGCGCUGGACUAGCGAUACGGGGUCCUGGGUUCGAAUUCUACCAAAACAA